UCUUCCUUGGUCUAGUGGUAUGAUUCAAGCGAUCUCGAAAAGGGGAGACCGGGGUUCGAUUCCCCGAGGGAGAG
This 74-nucleotide transfer RNA is filed under the name Exophiala sideris. RNAcentral describes it as "tRNA-Ser (CGA) (tRNA-Ser-CGA-2-1)". It matches the Rfam family "tRNA". Rfam says of the family: Transfer RNA (tRNA) molecules are approximately 80 nucleotides in length. Their secondary structure includes four short double-helical elements and three loops (D, anti-codon, and T loops). Lineage: Eukaryota; Fungi; Ascomycota; Eurotiomycetes; Chaetothyriales; Herpotrichiellaceae. The record is from RNAcentral.